GCGCACUGCCAAGUGACCGGAUUUCCUCCAUCAUGGUUCUCCGGCCUCAUUCCGGUGCCAGAUCAGCCUCAGUUAGCAGAAGGGUUGAGAUCGACCACUGGCUCACCCCUUUCGAAGGCUGAGAACAAAC
This 130-nucleotide small nucleolar RNA is filed under the name Kryptolebias marmoratus (mangrove rivulus). Lineage: Eukaryota; Metazoa; Chordata; Actinopteri; Cyprinodontiformes; Rivulidae. The record is from RNAcentral.